Molecule: ribosomal RNA, 492 nt
Filed under: uncultured bacterium
Lineage: Bacteria
Description: partial 16S ribosomal RNA
Rfam family: Bacterial small subunit ribosomal RNA
Source: RNAcentral
AGUGAACGCUGGCGGUAGGCCUAACACAUGCAAGUCGAACGGCAGCACAGUAAGAGCUUGCUCUUACGGGUGUCGAGUGGCGGACGGGUGAGGAAUACAUCGGAAUCUACUUUUUCGUGGGGGAUAACGUAGGGAAACUUACGCUAAUACCGCAUACGACCUACGGGUGAAAGCAGGGGAUCUUCGGACCUUGCGCGAUUGAAUGAGCCGAUGUCGGAUUAGCUAGUUGGCGGGGUAAAGGCCCACCAAGGCGACGAUCCGUAGCUGGUCUGAGAGGAUGAUCAGACACACUGGAACUGAGACACGGUCCAGACUCCUACGGGAGGAAGCAGUGGGGAAUAUUGGACAAUGGGCGCAAGCCUGAUCCAGCCAUACCGCGUGGGUGAAGAAGGCCUUAGGGUUGUAGAGCCCUUUUGUUGGGAAAGAAAAGCAGCAGGUUAAUACCCCGCUGUUCUGACGGUACCCAAAGAAUAAGCACCGGCUAACUUCGUG